AACUUUUGACAACGGAUCUCUGGGCUCUUGCAUCGAUGAAGUACGCAGUGAAGUGCGAAAAGUAAUGCGAUUUGCAUGCUCUGUGAGUCAUCGAAUCUUUGAACGCAUAUGGCACCUGCCAGCCCUGCUGGAAGGUAUGCCUGUUUGAGAAUCACACUAUCACUGAUCCGAUUGCAUCCACUUGCAGUUGGUCGACAUGGGCCUUCAGCAUUGAUCGCCUCGAAUUGCUCGCGAUCGUCGUGGUAAACAAAGGAGUGUGGCAGCGAUGCGUGCCAUCCAGUGUUGUCGACGAUCAACCCGUGCUCGUGAUCUCAAAUCAGGCAAGGCUACCCGCUGAACUUAAGCAUAUCAAUAAGCGGAGGCU
RNAcentral lists this unclassified non-coding RNA (364 nucleotides) under uncultured Basidiomycota. Its description in RNAcentral is "sequence contains ITS2". The stretch from base 1 to 154 matches the Rfam family "5.8S ribosomal RNA". Lineage: Eukaryota; Fungi; Basidiomycota. The record is from RNAcentral.